Molecule: ribosomal RNA, 684 nt
Filed under: Phlegmacium caesiocolor
Lineage: Eukaryota; Fungi; Basidiomycota; Agaricomycetes; Agaricales; Cortinariaceae
Description: eukaryotic LSU rRNA
Rfam family: 5.8S ribosomal RNA (bases 280-433)
Source: RNAcentral
GUAACAAGGUUUCCGUAGGUGAACCUGCGGAAGGAUCAUUAUUGAAAUAAAUCUGGCGAGUUGCUGCUGGUUCUCCAGGGAGCAUGUGCACACUUGUCAUCUUUAUAUCUCCACCUGUGCACCUUUUGUAGACCUGGAUCUCUCUCUGGAUGGGUUGCUAUUCAGGAUUGAGGAUUGACUUUAUGUCUCUCCUUCCAUUUCCAGGCCUAUGUUUCUUCAUAUACUCCAUUGUAUGUCAUAGAAUGUAAUCAAUGGCCUUUGUGCCUAUAAAUCUUAUACAACUUUCAGCAACGGAUCUCUUGGCUCUCGCAUCGAUGAAGAACGCAGCGAAAUGCGAUAAGUAAUGUGAAUUGCAGAAUUCAGUGAAUCAUCGAAUCUUUGAACGCACCUUGCGCUCCUUGGUAUUCCGAGGAGCAUGCCUGUUUGAGUGUCAUUAAUAUAUCAACUUCUUAAGCUUUUGCUUGUUGAGCGUUGGAUGUGGGGGUCUUUUUUUGCUGGUCUUUUUUUAGGUCAGCUCCCCUGAAAUGCAUUAGCGGAACAAUUUGCAGACCGUUCAUUGGUGUGAUAACUAUCUACGCUAUUGACGUGAAGCAGUUCAGCUUAUAAUAGUCCAUUGACUUGGACAAAUUUUCAUUAAUGUGACCUCAAAUCAGGUAGGACUACCCGCUGAACUUAAGCAUAUCA